RNAcentral lists this ribosomal RNA (577 nucleotides) under Halobacillus trueperi. RNAcentral's name for it is "bacterial SSU rRNA". It matches the Rfam family "Bacterial small subunit ribosomal RNA", at positions 808 to 1385 of the family's 1533-position model. Lineage: Bacteria; Bacillati; Bacillota; Bacilli; Caryophanales; Bacillaceae. The record is from RNAcentral.
GAUGAGUGCUAGGUGUUAGGGGGCUUCCACCCCUUAGUGCUGAAGUUAACGCAUUAAGCACUCCGCCUGGGGAGUACGGCCGCAAGGCUGAAACUCAAAAGAAUUGACGGGGGCCCGCACAAGCGGUGGAGCAUGUGGUUUAAUUUGAAGCAACGCGAAGAACCUUACCAGGUCUUGACAUCCUUGGACAUCCGUAGAGAUAGGGAGUUCCCUUCGGGGACCAAGUGACAGGUGGUGCAUGGUUGUCGUCAGCUCGUGUCGUGAGAUGUUGGGUUAAGUCCCGCAACGAGCGCAACCCUUGAUCUUAGUUGCCAGCAUUCAGUUGGGCACUCUAAGGUGACUGCCGGUGACAAACCGGAGGAAGGCGGGGAUGACGUCAAAUCAUCAUGCCCCUUAUGACCUGGGCUACACACGUGCUACAAUGGAUGGUACAAAGGGAAGCGAAGCCGCGAGGUCAAGCAAAUCCCAUAAAACCAUUCUCAGUUCGGAUUGCAGGCUGCAACUCGCCUGCAUGAAGCCGGAAUCGCUAGUAAUCGCGGAUCAGCAUGCCGCGGUGAAUACGUUCCCGGGCCUUGUA